This 929-nucleotide ribosomal RNA is filed under the name uncultured Bacteroidota bacterium. Its description in RNAcentral is "bacterial SSU rRNA". It matches the Rfam family "Bacterial small subunit ribosomal RNA", at positions 1 to 917 of the family's 1533-position model. Lineage: Bacteria; Pseudomonadati; Bacteroidota. The record is from RNAcentral.
CAUUGGAUCCAGACUUUGAUCCUGGCUCAGGAUGAACGCUAGCUACAGGCUUAACACAUGCAAGUCGAGGGGAAACGACAUCGAAAGCUUGCUUUUGAUGGGCGUCGACCGGCGCACGGGUGAGUAACGCGUAUCCAACCUGCCCAUCACUUGGGGAUAACCUUGCGAAAGUAAGACUAAUACCCAAUGACGUCUCUAGAAGACAUCUGAAAGAGAUUAAAGAUUUAUCGGUGAUGGAUGGGGAUGCGUCUGAUUAGCUUGUUGGCGGGGUAACGGCCCACCAAGGCAACGAUCGGUAGGGGUUCUGAGAGGAAGGUCCCCCACAUUGGAACUGAGGCACGGUCCAAACUCCUACGGGAGGCAGCAGUGAGGAAUAUUGGUCAAUGGGCGAGAGCCUGAACCAGCCAAGUAGCGUGCAGGAUGACGGCCCUAUGGGUUGUAAACUGCUUUUAUAAGGGAAUAAAGUGAGUCUCGUGAGACUUUUUGCAUGUACCUUAUGAAUAAGGACCGGCUAAUUCCGUGCCAGCAGCCGCGGUAAUACGGAAGGUCCGGGCGUUAUCCGGAUUUAUUGGGUUUAAAGGGAGCGUAGGCCGGAGAUUAAGCGUGUUGUGAAAUGUAGACGCUCAACGUCUGCACUGCAGCGCGAACUGGUUUCCUUGAGUACGCACAAAGUGGGCGGAAUUCGUGGUGUAGCGGUGAAAUGCUUAGAUAUCACGAAGAACUCCGAUUGCGAAGGCAGCUCACUGGAGCGCAACUGACGCUGAAGCUCGAAAGUGCGGGUAUCGAACAGGAUUAGAUACCCUGGUAGUCCGCACGGUAAACGAUGGAUGCCCGCUGUUGGUCUGAAUAGGUCAGCGGCCAAGCGAAAGCAUUAAGCAUCCCACCUGGGGAGUACGCCGGCAACGGUGCAACUCAAAGGAAUUGACGGA